AACUAAGUUUGUUAUUGGUAUGAGCUUUCGUGUGCUUGCACACUUCUUCAGAUACCUUCUUCGUGUGCAUGCACACGAAAGCUCAUACCAAUAACAAACUUAGUUGC
Molecule: microRNA precursor, 107 nt
Filed under: Podarcis lilfordi (Lilford's wall lizard)
Lineage: Eukaryota; Metazoa; Chordata; Lepidosauria; Squamata; Lacertidae
Source: RNAcentral